Molecule: non-coding RNA, 31 nt
Filed under: Mus musculus (house mouse)
Lineage: Eukaryota; Metazoa; Chordata; Mammalia; Rodentia; Muridae
Source: RNAcentral
UGUGACACUUUUCAAUUGUUCAGUCUCUUGC